This 670-nucleotide ribosomal RNA is filed under the name Mycobacterium tuberculosis. RNAcentral describes it as "partial 23S ribosomal RNA". It matches the Rfam family "Bacterial large subunit ribosomal RNA", at positions 1 to 715 of the family's 2925-position model. The record is from RNAcentral. Lineage: Bacteria; Bacillati; Actinomycetota; Actinomycetes; Mycobacteriales; Mycobacteriaceae.
GGUUAAGCGACUAAGCGUACACGGUGGAUGCCCUGGCAGUCAGAGGCGAUGAAGGACGUGCUAAUCUGCGAAAAGCGUCGGUAAGGUGAUAUGAACCGUUAUAACCGGCGAUGUCCGAAUGGGGAAACCCAGUGCAAUUCGUUGCACUAUCGUUAACUGAAUACAUAGGUUAACGAGGCGAACCGGGGGAACUGAAACAUCUAAGUACCCCGAGGAAAAGAAAUCAACCGAGAUUCCCCCAGUAGCGGCGAGCGAACGGGGAGCAGCCCAGAGUCUGAAUCAGCUUGUGUGUUAGUGGAACGGUCUGGAAAGUCCGACGGUACAGGGUGAUAGUCCCGUACACCAAAAUGCACAGGUUGUGAACUCGAAGAGUAGGGCGGGACACGUGGUAUCCUGUCUGAAUAUGGGGGGACCAUCCUCCAAGGCUAAAUACUCCUGACUGACCGAUAGUGAACCAGUACCGUGAGGGAAAGGCGAAAAGAACCCCGGCGAGGGGAGUGAAAAAGAACCUGAAACCGUGUACGUACAAGCAGUGGGAGCACCUUCGGGUGUGACUGCGUACCUUUUGUAUAAUGGGUCAGCGACUUAUAUUCUGUAGCAAGGUUAACCGUAUAGGGGAGCCGCAGGGAAACCGAGUCUUAACUGGGCGUUAAGUUGCAGGGUAUAGACC